RNAcentral lists this ribosomal RNA (474 nucleotides) under uncultured bacterium. Its description in RNAcentral is "bacterial SSU rRNA". It matches the Rfam family "Bacterial small subunit ribosomal RNA", at positions 40 to 507 of the family's 1533-position model. The record is from RNAcentral.
CGGCAGGCUUAACACAUGCAAGUCGAGGGGCAGCACGGGUAGCAAUACCUGGUGGCGACCGGCGCAAGGGUGCGUAACGCGUGAGCAACAUGCCCUAUACAGGGGGAUAAUCCAGGGAAAACUUGGUCUAAUAUCCCAUAGUAUUUAGAGGAGGCAUCUUCUAUAAAUUAAAGCUUCGGUGGUAUAGGAUUGGCUCGCGUGACAUUAGCUAGAUGGUGAGGUAACGGCUCACCAUGGCAAUGAUGUCUAGGGGUUCUGAGAGGAAGGCCCCCCCACACUGGGACUGAGACACGGCCCAGACUCCUACGGGAGGCAGCAGUGAGGAAUAUUGGACAAUGGAUGGAAAUCUGAUCCAGCCAUGCCGCGUGCAGGAAGACAGCCCUAUGGGUUGUAAACUGCUUUUAUAUGGGAGCAAUAAGGUCUACGUGUAGACUGAUGAGAGUACCAUAUGAAUAAGCAUCGGCUAACUCCGUG